CACAAAACGGACAGUUGCAGCCUGAUAUUUCACCAAUGCCCUCAGUGGACAGUACUCGUGCUGCUAAUCACUUCAGUCCAGCAGGUGGCAGUUAGGCUCCGUUAAGCUUCUCCACCACCCACUAAACCACCAGUAAAGAAGAAGAGUAAAUGAGAAGGAGGCCUAAUCCUAGUCCCUGUACACCCUAAACCCUGAGCCCUCAGGGACUUAACUGACACCACCUGGUUUCCAUGGAUCAUGGUUCUAUCUGAACCCUGUUCCUGCCUCCUGCCAUGACCCUGCUGACACCUGCUGCGGAUAUCAUCAUUAUUAUUUUAAAUAUUAAUCACAUUUACUAUUACUCUCAUC
Molecule: long non-coding RNA, 348 nt
Organism: Gasterosteus aculeatus aculeatus (three-spined stickleback)
Lineage: Eukaryota; Metazoa; Chordata; Actinopteri; Perciformes; Gasterosteidae
Source: Ensembl